CCGUAUCAGCCUGAAGGCGCCCGAUCUCGUCUGAUCUCGGAAGCUAAGCAGGGUCGGGCCUGGUUAGGAUCUUGGAUGGGAGACCACCUGGGAAUCCCGGGUG
This 103-nucleotide ribosomal RNA is filed under the name Bison bison bison. Lineage: Eukaryota; Metazoa; Chordata; Mammalia; Artiodactyla; Bovidae. The record is from RNAcentral.